CUACGGGUUGCUGCAGCUAAGAAUCUUCCGCAAUGGGCGCAAGCCUGACGGAGCGACGCCGCGUGAAUGAUGAAGGCCGAGAGGUUGUAAAGUUCUUUUCCUAGGGAGGAAUAAUAAUAGAAGGAAAUGUCUGUUAGAUGACGUUAACUAGGGAAUAAGCCCCGGCUAAUUACGUGCCAGCAGCCGCGGUAACACGUAAGGGGCAAGCGUUGUUCGGAAUUAUUGGGCGUAAAGGGUGCGUAGGCGGAUUAUCAAGCCUGAUGUGAAAGACCACAGCUUAACUGUGGGAACGCGUUGGGAAAUGGUAGUCUAGAAUGAUUGAGGGGUAACCGGAAUUUCUAGUGUAGGGGUGAAAUCUGUAGAUAUUAGAAAGAACACCAAUGGCGAAGGCAGGUUACUGGCAGUCUAUUGACGCUAAGGCACGAAAGCGUGGGGAGCAAACAGGAUUAGAUACCCGGGUAGUC
RNAcentral lists this ribosomal RNA (464 nucleotides) under uncultured bacterium. RNAcentral describes it as "partial 16S ribosomal RNA". It matches the Rfam family "Bacterial small subunit ribosomal RNA", at positions 339 to 795 of the family's 1533-position model. The record is from RNAcentral.